UCAAGCUCCUAUUCUUCCUUUCGGCACAACCAUUAUGUUUUGGCGUAUAAGGGGGAUUGACUUCGUGCACCAAAUCUUCUUCUUCACAGAAAUCCAUGAAUUCAUUGGAGAUAAACCAAACUUUGGGUUGAGGUUUCCCCUAUAAAUAGGCGAGUUGAAGGUACUGAUGGGACAUUCAAAUCAAGCAAUGCAAUGGUCUAGUAGAAGCAUGAGUAAUUUUGAAGGAAAACAAAGGAGGAAUGUGAGAGUGAAGUUUGAAGAGUUUAAUUGAAACAUUGGGUGUCCAAGUAAAGGUACUUCAGAGUUGGAUUGUUGGUGGGAUAAUGGCAUGAUAGAGUAUGGCACGUUAAGAAGGGGAGUUUUUGUGAUUGAUAAAUGUGUUUAUAUGCACUGAGUGUGUAAGUUUGUGCUAAACCUAAUUUAAAUGAAUUGUAUUCUUAUUUAUGUUCACUAGUGUUUAUGUGUUAUAAAUCGUUGUUGUUAAAUAUGGUUUUAUGUGUAUGUGAGGUAAGGUUAUAUGAAUGACAUGUUAUGUGUCUCAACAAAAGGAGGGCUUUGUGUAAGCAACCUUGUGUGGGCAGUGAUACCUUGUGGACUCUGUAAGUUUCCGUAUGAGCAAGGGUGGAGUUUGUAAGUUUUUGUGUGAACAUGAAUUUUAGCUUUAUUUGAGUGAAUGGUUGGUAAGCUCUGCGUGAGUGCCAUAGUUGGUAAUCUUGUGUGGGUUGAGAUAUCUUUUAAGGUUUAUGAAAAAACAUGUUUGAAAGCCCUGUGUGAGUGAAGCACUGGAUAACUCUGAGUGGA
Long non-coding RNA from Vigna unguiculata (cowpea), 801 nucleotides. Lineage: Eukaryota; Viridiplantae; Streptophyta; Magnoliopsida; Fabales; Fabaceae. The record is from RefSeq and is a predicted model, not a curated record.